RNAcentral lists this ribosomal RNA (482 nucleotides) under uncultured bacterium. Its description in RNAcentral is "partial 16S ribosomal RNA". It matches the Rfam family "Bacterial small subunit ribosomal RNA", at positions 30 to 507 of the family's 1533-position model. The record is from RNAcentral.
AUUGAACGCUGGCGGCAUGCCUUACACAUGCAAGUCGAACGGUAACGGGCCUUCGGGUGCCGACGAGUGGCGAACGGGUGAGUAAUACAUCGGAACGUGCCCGAUCGUGGGGGAUAACGAGGCGAAAGCUUUGCUAAUACCGCAUACGAUCUACGGAUGAAAGCAGGGGACCGCAAGGCCUUGCGCGGACGGAGCGGCCGAUGGCGGAUUAGGUAGUUGGUGGGCUAAAAGCUUACCAAGCCGACGAUCUGUAGCUGGACUGAGAGGAUGAUCAGCCACACUGGGACUGAGACACGGCCCAGACUCCUACGGGAGGCAGCAGUGGGGAAUUUUGGACAAUGGGCGCAAGCCUGAUCCAGCCAUGCCGCGUGCAGGAUGAAGGCCUUCGGGUUGUAAACUGCUUUUGUACGGAACGAAAAGCCUUCUUUUAAUACAGGAGGGUCAUGACGGUACCGUAAGAAUAAGCACCGGCUAACUACGUG